RNAcentral lists this transfer RNA (90 nucleotides) under Candidatus Peregrinibacteria bacterium CG10_big_fil_rev_8_21_14_0_10_49_10. RNAcentral describes it as "tRNA-Ser". It matches the Rfam family "tRNA". Rfam says of the family: Transfer RNA (tRNA) molecules are approximately 80 nucleotides in length. Lineage: Bacteria; Candidatus Peregrinibacteriota. The record is from RNAcentral.
GGAGGGAUGGCCGAGUGGUCGAUGGCGACGGUCUUGAAAACCGUUAGGCCCUCAGGGGUCUCGUGGGUUCGAAUCCCACUCCCUCCGCCA